RNAcentral lists this ribosomal RNA (468 nucleotides) under uncultured bacterium. Its description in RNAcentral is "partial 16S ribosomal RNA". It matches the Rfam family "Bacterial small subunit ribosomal RNA", at positions 28 to 507 of the family's 1533-position model. The record is from RNAcentral.
GACGAACGCUGGCGGCGUGCUUAACACAUGCAAGUCGAACGGAAAGGCCCUGCUUUUGUGGGGUGCUCGAGUGGCGAACGUGUGAGUAACACGUGAGUAACCUGCCCUUGACUUUGGGAUAACUUCAGGAAACUGGGGCUAAUACCGGAUAGGAGCUCCUGCUGCAUGGUGGGGGUUGGAAAGUUUCGGCGGUUGGGGAUGGACUCGCGGCUUAUCAGCUUGUUGGUGGGGUAGUGGCUUACCAAGGCUUUGACGGGUAGCCGGCCUGAGAGGGUGACCGGCAACAUUGGGACUGAGAUACGGCCCAGACUCCUACGGGAGGCAGCAGUGGGGAAUAUUGCACAAUGGGCGGAAGCCUGAUGCAGCAACGCCGCGUGCGGGAUGACGGCCUUCGGGUUGUAAACCGCUUUCGCCUGUGACGAAGCGUGAGUGACGGUAAUGGGUAAAGAAGCACCGGCUAACUACGUG